This 497-nucleotide ribosomal RNA is filed under the name uncultured bacterium. Its description in RNAcentral is "partial 16S ribosomal RNA". It matches the Rfam family "Bacterial small subunit ribosomal RNA", at positions 28 to 507 of the family's 1533-position model. The record is from RNAcentral.
GAUGAACGCUGGCGGCGUGCCUAAUACAUGCAAGUCGAGCGAACGGACGAGAAGCUUGCUUUUCUGAUGUUAGCGGCGGACGGGUGAGUAACACGUGGAUAACCUACCUAUAAGACUGGGAUAACUUCGGGAAACCGGAGCUAAUACCGUAUAAUCUUUUGAACCGCAUGGUUCAAAAGUGAAAGACGGCCUUGCUGUCACUUAUAGAUGGAUCCGCGCUGCAUUAGCUAGUUGGUAAGGUAACGGCUUACCAAGGCAACGAUGCAUAGCCGACCUGAGAGGGUGAUCGGCCACACUGGAACUGAGACGCGGUCCAGACUCCUGCGGGAGGCAGCAGUAGGGAAUCUUCCGCAAAGGGCGAAAGCCUGACGGAGCAACGCCGCGUGAGUGAUGAAGGUCUUCGGAUCGUAAAACUCUGUUAUUAGGGAAGAACAUAUGUGUAAGUAGCUGUGCACAUCGUGACGGUACCUAAUCAGAAAGCCACGGCUAACUACGUG